RNAcentral lists this ribosomal RNA (428 nucleotides) under uncultured Emticicia sp. RNAcentral's name for it is "bacterial SSU rRNA". It matches the Rfam family "Bacterial small subunit ribosomal RNA", at positions 1 to 444 of the family's 1533-position model. Lineage: Bacteria; Pseudomonadati; Bacteroidota; Cytophagia; Cytophagales; Leadbetterellaceae. The record is from RNAcentral.
UGACGAGUUUGAUCCUGGCUCAGGAUGAACGCUAGCGGCGGGCUUAAUACAUGCAAGUCAAGGGGUAGCAAUACACCGGCGUACGGGUGCGUAACGCGUAUGGAACCUGCCCUUAUCUGGGGGAUAACUCGGGGAAACUCGAGCUAAUACCGCAUAAGAUAGUAGAGUGGCAUCACUCAGCUAUUAAAGAUUUAUCGGAUAAGGAUGGCCAUGCGUAAGAUUAGAUAGUUGGCGAGGUAACGGCUCACCAAGUCUACGAUCUUUAGGGGGCUCUGAGAGGAGAAUCCCCCACACUGGCACUGAGAUACGGGGCCCGACUCCUACGGGAGGCAGCAGUAAGGAAUAUUGGUCAAUGGACGCAAGUCUGACCCAGCCAUGCCCGCGUGCAGGAUGAAGGCGUUAUGCGUCGUAAACUGCUUUUAUACAGG